AUACGUAGGGUGCGAGCGUUGUCCGGAAUUACUGGGCGUAAAGAGCUCGUAGGCGGUUUGUCGCGUCGUCUGUGAAAUUCCGGGGCUUAACUCCGGGCGUGCAGGCGAUACGUGCAUAACUUGAGUACUGUAGGGGAGACUGGAAUUCCUGGUGUAGCGGAGAAAUGGGCAGAUAUCAGGAGGAACACCGGUGGCGAAGGAGGGUUCCGGGGCAGGAACUGUCGCUGAGGAGCGAAAGCGUGGGUAGGGAACAGGAUUAGAUACCCUGGUAGUCCAUGCCGUAAACGGUGGGCGCUAGGUGUAGGGGUCUUCCGCGACUUCUGGGCCGUAGAUAACGCAUAAUGCGCCCCGCCUGGGGAGUACGGCCGCAAGGCUAAAACUCAAAUGAAUUGACGGGG
Molecule: ribosomal RNA, 398 nt
Filed under: uncultured bacterium
Lineage: Bacteria
Description: partial 16S ribosomal RNA
Rfam family: Bacterial small subunit ribosomal RNA
Source: RNAcentral